RNAcentral lists this ribosomal RNA (473 nucleotides) under uncultured bacterium. Its description in RNAcentral is "bacterial SSU rRNA". It matches the Rfam family "Bacterial small subunit ribosomal RNA", at positions 26 to 507 of the family's 1533-position model. The record is from RNAcentral.
UAUAAGGCGGCCGGUUGCAACCAUGUAAAUGGUUUGUAAGCGAAACGAGUAAAAGGGCUGGGCGAGCAGUUCUUGAGAGCGGCGAAAGGGAAAGUAACGCGUAUUUAUGUGCCCCGAGGUCCGGAAUACCCACGGGAAACUGUGGGUAAUGCCGGAUAAUAUCUCUGGAUCAAAGGUGUGAUUCCGCCUUGGGAGCAAACUGCGUCGUACUAGCUUGUUGGUGGGGUAAUGGCCUACCAAGGCAAUGAUGCGUAGCGGGUGUGAAAGCAUGACCCGUCUCACUGGGACUGAAACACUGCCCAAACACCUACGGGUGGCUGCAGUCAAAAAUCUUCGGCAAUGGGCGAAAGCCUGACCGAGCGACGCCGCGUGCGGAAUGAAGGCCUUCGGGUUGUAAACCGCGAAAGUAGGGAGGAAGGCUUCGCGAAAAGCGAGGUUUGACCGAUCUACAGUAGGGACGGGCUAAGUACGUG